Molecule: long non-coding RNA, 4527 nt
Organism: Ostrinia nubilalis (European corn borer)
Lineage: Eukaryota; Metazoa; Arthropoda; Insecta; Lepidoptera; Crambidae
Exons: 2
Source: RefSeq, a predicted model, not a curated record
CCCGUAAUUAUGUUGCUGUCGCGACUGUGCGACGGGCGCCCGCAGUGAGUGUGCGAGCGCGACAGCAACAUAAUUACGCGCGAGCGAUAGGGAUGGGUAGUUUGGGGUCAUUGGACGGGAUUCUACGCAGCUCGCACACUCACUGCGGGCGCCCGUCGCACAGUCGCGACAGCGUCUUUCCGUUCUAUACAUAGCCAGAACGCAAGGGUGUGAAACUAAUCGAGUAUAGUUUGGAGAUGACUUUUUUUACUAAGCUCCUCCAAACUAUACACGACCAGUACGCAUAUGCUGCGUACUGCUCGCGUAUACUUUGUAGUGACUUAGGUCAAUUAUCUUACUCCAAAAUAUACAUCGCCAGUACGCAUACGGACUAAUCAUGUAUGUAUUGUAAUAAGUGCGUGAUUACAAUUUAUACGCGAGUAGUUGCAUGCUAGUCAUUUUGUCUUAUUGACCUCUCUUUCUAUUAUAUUAUUAAUUCAUAUCUGCGUGUCUACUUUAAACAUUGAAUCAUCUUUCGACACGUAUUCUGCCAUAGAAAAGAUAUUUGUUUUGGGGCUGAUAUUUAAUUUUCACCAAUUCUCGAAUAACUCUUAAAUUAAUAAUUAUGUAGGUAUGGAAAUAUUAUUAUGUCAAAAUGAUUUUGUUCUUGAGAUAAAAGUUAUUAAAUAAAAUAAAUAAUAAAUAAAUAUCCUUAGACAUUUUACACUGCGCUUCUAGUCCCAAACUAAGCAAAGCUUGUACCUACAUAAUACUAAGUAUUAAACAUACAUACUUUUUUUUUACUUAAAUACUUUUUUUUUGUAAAUACAUACUUACUAUACAUAGAAAACACCCAGUCCAAUACAAACAAAUAUGUUCAUGCACAUAAAUGUUUGUACUGUGCGGGAAUCGAACCCGCUCCCUCCGGAAUAGUAGUCCGUUUCGAACCACUACACCAAACGGCCGAUAAUACAAACCUAGCAUUUAAAGUCUCGCAUAAUGUAUUAAUAAUGCACGUUGAACUUUCUUCUCUCACUCUCUCUCUCAUUUUAAAUGAAUUUAUGAUUACACUAAUAAUUGUUAUUUAAUUUGAAAUCUACCUAAUCAAUUUAAUUUCAAAAACCACUUACAAUAGUGUUAAAAAUCUAGAUUUAUUAUAGAUUCAGUAAAAUAAUAAUAUUUUAUGUAAUAAUAUCGAAUAAAUGUAAUUUUAAAUAUAAUUCCAUAUUUUACUAAAUCAAUAUCAACUAAACACACUCUAGUCAAGUGUAAGUGGUGUAGUAGAAACUAAUCGAGUAUAGUUUGGAUAUGACUUUUUUUACUAAGCUCUUCCAAACUAUACACGAUCAGUACGCAAAAUUCGUGUAUAGUUUGGAGUCACAGAUUUACAAACGGGCACUACAAAAUAUACACGAGCAGUUUCCUAUGGGUGCGUUCUGGCCAUGUAUAGAACGGAAAGACGCGUCGCGACAGCAACAUAAUUAGCUCCUACGUCACGCCGGCGCCGCCGCCCAGGCCGCGCACUCCACCACCGCCGCCCACGAGCCGGCGCCGCCGGUGCAGCCCUCGCCGCAGCCGCCGCUCUCGCUGGUGCGUGCCUCCUGAAUAAAGCCGCAGUGAGUGUGCGAGCGCGACAGCAACAUAAUUACGCGCGAGCGAUAGGGAUGGGUAGUUUGAGGUCAUUGGACGGGAUUUUACGCAGCUCGCACACUCACUGCGGGCGCCCGUCGCACAGUCGCGACAGCAACAUAAUUACGCGCGAGCGAUAGGGAUGGGUAGCUUGGGGUCAUUGGACGGGAUUCUACGCAGCUCGCACACUCACUGCGGGCGCCCGUCGCACAGUCGCGACAGCAACAUAAUUACGCGCGAGCGAUAGGGAUGGGUAGCUUGGGGUCAUUGGACGGGAUUCUACGCAGCUCGCACACUCACUGCGGGCGCCCGUCGCACAGUCGCGACAGCAACAUAAUUACGCGCGAGCGAUAGGGAUGGGUAGCUUGGGGUCAUUGGACGGGAUUCUACGCAGCUCGCACACUCACUGCGGGCGCCCGUCGCACAGUCGCGACAGCAACAUAAUUACGCGCGAGCGAUAGGGAUGGGUAGCUUGGGGUCAUUGGACGGGAUUCUACGCAGCUCGCACACUCACUGCGGGCGCCCGUCGCACAGUCGCGACAGCAACAUAAUUACGCGCGAGCGAUAGGGAUGGGUAGCUUGGGGUCAUUGGACGGGAUUCUACGCAGCUCGCACACUCACUGCGGGCGCCCGUCGCACAGUCGCGACAGCAACAUAAUUACGCGCGAGCGAUAGGGAUGGGUAGCUUGGGGUCAUUGGACGGGAUUCUACGCAGCUCGCACACUCACUGCGGGCGCCCGUCGCACAGUCGCGACAGCAACAUAAUUACGCGCGAGCGAUAGGGAUGGGUAGCUUGGGGUCAUUGGACGGGAUUCUACGCAGCUCGCACACUCACUGCGGGCGCCCGUCGCACAGUCGCGACAGCAACAUAAUUACGCGCGAGCGAUAGGGAUGGGUAGCUUGGGGUCAUUGGACGGGAUUCUACGCAGCUCGCACACUCACUGCGGGCGCCCGUCGCACAGACGCGACAGCAACAUAAUUAGCUCCUACGUCACGCCGGCGCCGCCAGGCCGCCACUCCACCACCGCCGCCCACGAGCCCGCGCCGCCGGUGCAGCCCUCGCCGCAGCCGCCGCUCUCGCUGCCAAUCAACACUUCGGACCCGGCCAAUCACCAGUUGAACAAAGAGGGGAGCGCCGACGUCCACUAGGCGACGAGAAUACGCUACGUUACAGUACCGUAAGGCGCCGAGCGACAAACUUACAAACAAACAAUAGUUUUAUUGAUUCCAUCGCAACUAUGUCAUAAGUACCUAUGUCGUAAGCCAACGAGUGAUAAUUAUGUAGCGGCGUUUGCAUUGAGACCGGUGCCAGGAGGCCGGACAAUAAGUGUGUGGAUUCGAGUGAAGUGACUCGUGCGUGACGGGACUACGACGCAGUGUGAUACGUCUCAGUGCAAACGGCGCGUAAUGAGCGAAUAGUUGAUUCUGUGUUUGUAUUUGGUAAGUUGGGACAGCUAUAUAUAAAUACUGUAUAUGUAUCGCGCGCACCGGCCGCGCCCUGCACGCUCGCUGCUCGCCGUCAAGUGCGUCGAGACAUGGCGGGUGACCAUACACAACUUGUUAGUAACUUUAUUGAACAAUUCCUCUUUGGCCAAGUCAAUGGAUGGCCACAGAUGAAUUUUUCCUUCAUAGUGGUGCCGUCAUAUUGCUCAUAUUGUAAGACGGAUUAAAAAGAUUUCUAAGAAACCACAUUGUUACUUUAGUGGCGCGUUUCGCCGCCCCGAAAAGUUUUGUUUUUGGCCAAGAAUGGUGUUUUUAUUCUUGUAGCGCAAGCAGUGCUUGCUAUUUUUCUUGUAUAAUGUGUACGGUGAACUCUAAGCCGACUGUGUGCCGAAGACAAUAUGGUCAUGGUCAUGGUCAAAAGCAACGUUUUCUACAAAAGCGGUAGCGUCACGAAUAAUGGAAAAGGCGGACCUAAUUUUAUAAUAUCUAGACAACUUUUGUGGCCACAACUUGACGGCACCGCUGACACAGAAAGCUAGCGUUCGGCUCGCACAUACAAUGUUGCGAACCUCAUCAUUAUCGUCCAAGCAGUGCUUCGGUGGAGUAACCAAUGCUGGAACAAAACGAUACUCCAAAGUUCAGGCUCUAUUAUAAAAUGUUAUGAGGCACAUAACGAUUUGAUACUUGUCGCAAAUAUAGUAAUUUGUUCACACUUUUGCGGUGCCUUUAGCGUCGCUGUUUCUUUAGAUGCAAUUUCUGGCUGGCGCGCAUGCGAAGUUACGGUUGUAUUACCGAUUCGUUUAAUUUAAACAUGGAUCAGUAUCAAAACCGUAAUGUAAACAUACAAUGAAGUGUGGUAAGAAACUAACGGAGCCUCAACUUACGAGUAUCGUUAUAGCGGGUGUUCUCCUUUACGCGAUAGCCGUUUUUUUCGCUCUAUCCGUCCCUCGCCAGGCCAUUUACAGCGUCACGCAAAAAGCGCUCUUAAGUUGCACUGCAAUGUGUGUUCCAGGGCGCUUUUUGAGUAAUGCAAUCGGCAAAAUGAAAGGGACAGAGCAUAAAAGUCGGUGACCGCACAGGGCGCGCGCGGCGCCGCCCGACGCCACAUACAUACGAACUGUUAAUUUUUAAGUAUCGACAAAUGGACUGUAGAUUCUAUCAUCACACUUGUAAACGAGAAAACGGGAGGUCUUCGUGUUUUUUUUGUUUGAAAUGUACAAAAUCAUGCUUUCAUUUGAUUAAUUUUUUUUUCUAAAUAGACUUUAAGUGACGAAUUUGUACAUGAACGAACACCGUCGAAAGUAGACCGAAACGCAAUAGCGGGGCGCGCCCCACAUCCACCUGUUUGAAAAUCGUGAGAAAUUGGUAUUUAAAAUUAGUAUUUACUUACAGUUUAGUUUAAUGACAAAAACAAUGUGUAUAUUUUAUGAGAAAGUGAAAAGUUCUUAAAUAAAACUAUUGUUUUCGGAUUAAUUA